Long non-coding RNA from Bos taurus (domestic cattle), 373 nucleotides. The record is from Ensembl. NCBI's taxonomy places the organism in Eukaryota, Metazoa, Chordata, Mammalia, Artiodactyla, Bovidae.
AUACUUCUGUAUACAUGGGUGAGAACCAGAAAAUUCUGGCUUCUCUUGCUUGCUGGGUGUUUCCUGCAGAGGCCUUGCUUCCGGCUCUUCAAACCCCAGUUCCUGGUGUGAACCAGCUUGGCCGAUGCUCUUGCUUGGGCUGGGGGUGCCGUGUGCGGAGACGCUGCACCCACCUUAAUGUAAGGUGGCAAUGAGCCUUGUGAGCCCCACUACCGGGAGCAGCUGUGCCUAUCUCUGCUCCCCAGAACCCCGCCAACUCCACCCACUCCCCCGCUGAUGAAAGCCCUACGGAGCAGCCCCGCCCAUGGCCUGUUGGAGAGUGUGGACUGUACAGUGGGUGCUCCCACUUCUCAGUUCCUUUGCUUCUCAACAC